Molecule: ribosomal RNA, 500 nt
Filed under: uncultured bacterium
Lineage: Bacteria
Description: partial 16S ribosomal RNA
Rfam family: Bacterial small subunit ribosomal RNA
Source: RNAcentral
AUUGAACGCUGGCGGCAUGCUUUACACAUGCAAGUCGAACGGUAACAGGGUGCUUGCACCGCUGACGAGUGGCGAACGGGUGAGUAAUGCGUCGGAACGUGCCGAGUAGUGGGGGAUAACGCAGCGAAAGUUGUGCUAAUACCGCAUACGUACUGAGGUAGAAAGUGGGGGACCUUCGGGCCUCACGCUAUUCGAGCGGCCGACGUCUGAUUAGCUAGUAGGUGAGGUAAAGGCUCACCUAGGCGACGAUCAGUAGCGGGUCUGAGAGGAUGAUCCGCCACACUGGGACUGAGACACGGCCCAGACUCCUACGGGAGGCAGCAGUGGGGAAUUUUGGACAAUGGGCGAAAGCCUGAUCCAGCCAUGCCGCGUGCAGGAUGAAGGCCCUCGGGUUGUAAACUGCUUUUGUACAGAACGAAAAGGCUCUGGUUAAUACCUGGGGCUCAUGACGGUACUGUAAGAAUAAGCACCGGCUAACUACGUGCCAGCAGCCGCAGUAA